Long non-coding RNA from Pan paniscus (pygmy chimpanzee), 617 nucleotides. The record is from Ensembl. NCBI's taxonomy places the organism in Eukaryota, Metazoa, Chordata, Mammalia, Primates, Hominidae.
GAUUGUUUUGGAGUCUUCUGGAUAUGAGAACAUUAUAAAAGGCCCCAAACAUCCUGUGGGAUUUCAACCAUCAAAAUUGGAAAGAUGCCAGACUGAGAUCUCCUCAUUAGUAACUCUUGGAAAGAUUAUGCAAAGAGCUUUUGACUUCUUCUACUAGGAGAGGAGAAACCAUGGACAAUUAUUUUUUCCUUGGUAAUCUUUCAUUCACUCCUGGAUGAAGAUCAGCUGCAACAGCAUGUCCCUGGUUCAACUCAUCUUCCACCUUGCUGUGAUAUUACGCUCCCUAAAGUACAGCUCUGAUCAAUUCACUGUACUGUUCAAAGACCUUCAACGUCUCUCCAGACUCAAAUACCACCAUCUCCAAAACAUUUUCUCUGGUGCUACAAGUGGAAAUUGUUCCUUCCUCCAAGUACAGCCUGGAUCCCUGCACAUCCUGCAUUGUAUUAAAGGUAUUUGUGUACAUGUUUUAUGUUCAUUAUGGUGCAAUAAUAUAUCUGUAUGGAGAGUGUGUGUCAGGUUCAUGUUAUUCAUCCCCCAAAGCACCUUUUUAAAUGAAAAACUAAAAGAUGCAGUUAUUAUGAAUAAUGGAGUGAAUGACAGCUAUUCUUGCAGGAAAG